Molecule: ribosomal RNA, 1531 nt
Filed under: uncultured bacterium
Lineage: Bacteria
Description: bacterial SSU rRNA
Rfam family: Bacterial small subunit ribosomal RNA
Source: RNAcentral
AGAGUUUGAUCAUGGCUCAGGACGAACGCUGGCGGCGCGCCUAACACAUGCAAGUCGAACGGGACUAGUGACCGGAGCUUAGAAGUUUUCUAGGUUGCGUUCACUAGUUCAGUGGCGGACGGGUGAGUAAAGCAUGAGUAACUUUCCCAUUAGUGGGGAAUAGCUUUUGGAAACAGAAGAUAAUACCGCAUACAUCGUUGAGGACUCAUGUUCUCUUCGGAAAAGAAGCAAUUCGCUUAUGGAUAGGCUCAUGUCUGAUUAGCUUGUUGGUGAGGUAAUGGCUCACCAAGGCCAUGAUCAGUAGCCGUACCGAGAGGUUCAACGGCCACAUUGGGACUGAGACACGGCCCAGACUCCUACGGGAGGCAGCAGUGAGGAAUAUUGCGCAAUGGAGGAAACUCUGACGCAGCGACGCCGCGUGAAGGAUGAAGGUCUUCGGAUUGUAAACUUCUGUCUUCAGGGAAGAAACAAAUGACGGUACCUGGGGAGGAAGCCCCGGCUAACUACGUGCCAGCAGCCGCGGUAAUACGUAGGGGGCGAGCGUUGUCCGGAAUUAUUGGGUGUAAAGGGCGCGUAGGCGGCUAAGUAAGUCAAACGUGAAAACUACAGGCUCAACUUGUAGCUUGCGUUUGAAACUGCAUAGCUUGAGUAAAGUAGAGGUAAGUGGAAUUUCCAGUGUAGCGGUGAAAUGCGUAGAUAUUGGAAGGAACACCAGUGGCGAAGGCGACUUACUGGGCUUUUACUGACGCUGAGGCGCGAAAGCGUGGGUAGCAAACAGGAUUAGAUACCCUGGUAGUCCAUGCUGUAAACGAUGAUUAUUAGGUGUGGGAGGUCUGACCCCUUCUGUGCCGGAGUUAACACAAUAAAUAAUCCACCUGGGGAGUACGGCCGCAAGGUUGAAACUCAAAGGAAUUGACGGGGACCCGCACAAGCAGUGGAGUAUGUGGUUUAAUUCGACGAUACGCGAAAAAUCUUACCAGGCCUUGACAUCCAACUAACGAGGUAGAAAUACAUUAGGUGCCCUUCGGGGAAAGUUGAGACAGGUGGUGCAUGGUUGUCGUCAGCUCGUGUCGUGAGAUGUUGGGUUAAGUCCCGCAACGAGCGCGACCCCUACGAUUAGUUGCUACGCAAGAGCACUCUAUUCGGACUGCCGUUGACAAAACGGAGGAAGGUGGGGAUGACGUCAAAUCCUCAUGCCCUUUAUGGCCUGGGCAACACACGUACUACAAUGGCUAAUACAACGGGGAGCUAAAGCGCGAGCUGGAGCGAAUCCUUCAAAAUUGGUCUCAGUUCGGAUUGUAGGCUGAAACUCGCCUGCAUGAAGUUGGAAUUGCUAGUAAUCGCGGAUCAUCAUGCCGCGGUGAAUACGUUCCCGGGUCUUGUACACACCGCCCGUCACACCAUGGGAGCCGGUAAUGCCCGAAGCCGUUUUCUCAACCGCAAGGGGAGAGGCGUCUAAGGUAGGAUUGGUGACUGGGGUGAAGUCGUAACAAGGUAGCCGUAUCGGAAGGUGCGGCUGGAUCACCUCCUU